UGGACGCAUUUGACAAGGUCCUACCUUCUACUGUAUGAGGUUGGAAAAAACAAAUAGAGCUUUCCUUCUCUGUAUACACUUUCUAGAAGUGUAUACACUUCUGCCCACAGUGGAUAGUCAUGCUGAUGAAAAGAGGGUCCAACUUCUACUAUUUUAACAUACUCAGGGAGUCCAGAUGACUGGGAUGUUUCCUAAAAUGGAAAAUACAAGACAAGAAAAACAGGCAUGGAAAAAUAUUCGCUCUACCAGUGUAUCUGAGAAGUCUGAAGAAAGUUAAAAUGUGUUCUCCUUGUUAACAGCAACAUACAUACAUAAAUAAAUAA
Long non-coding RNA from Hyaena hyaena (striped hyena), 323 nucleotides. RefSeq lists it as uncharacterized. The record is from RefSeq and is a predicted model, not a curated record. NCBI's taxonomy places the organism in Eukaryota, Metazoa, Chordata, Mammalia, Carnivora, Hyaenidae. The transcript has 4 exons.